This is an RNA transcript of Magnolia sinica, 2209 nucleotides long. It is a transcript of the gene named glutamyl-tRNA(Gln) amidotransferase subunit B, chloroplastic/mitochondrial-like, with no coding region annotated. The record is from RefSeq and is a predicted model, not a curated record. NCBI's taxonomy places the organism in Eukaryota, Viridiplantae, Streptophyta, Magnoliopsida, Magnoliales, Magnoliaceae. The transcript has 11 exons.
GCUUGGCGCGGGUAAAUGAUAUCUGCAAGCCUCAUGCAAUUACUUGGAGCGGGUAAAUGUUUUUAUUUUUUGAUUCUUGCCAUUUCCAUGCAUUGCAAGUGGCUCAAAAUAUGUGGAUUCAGUUGCAUUGUUGAAUAUCCACAUAGACUGACCAUGGCUUCCAUCUGCUUUAGAUCAAUAAAAACCAAUUCUCCUUUCCUGUCCCCAUCUGCCUUUUUCACCAAGAAAAAUGGUAGAUUUUUCUGUACCAUGAAAAGCCCACAAACCCAAACAAAAACACAUGAGAAAAACCAACAAACAAAGAUCAAACCACAUGAUGAAAACCCACAAACCAAAACCAAAACGCUACAUGAAUAUGAAGCAAUCAUCGGUAUAGAGACCCACGUCCAGCUCUCCACUAUCACCAAGGCCUUUUGCAGUUGUCCAUACCACUAUGGUUCACAACCCAACACCGGCAUCUGCCCCAUUUGCAUGGGACUACCUGGUGCCCUACCGGUCUUGAACUCCAAGGUCAUUGAGUUUGCUGUGAAAUUGGGUCUUGCGCUGAACUGCAACUUGUCUCUGAAAUCCAAGUUUGAUAGGAAACAGUACUUCUAUCCCGACCUCCCAAAGGGCUACCAGAUAUCGCAGUUCGAUAUCCCUAUAGCAACUGGAGGUUUCAUCGAUUUGGAUCUUCCAGUCGAGUUUGGCGGUGGGCAUAGGAGGUUUGGUAUAACCAGGGUACAUAUGGAAGAAGAUGCAGGAAAGUUGCUUCACUCAGGAAGUGAGAGUUACUCAGAGGUGGACUUGAAUAGAGCAGGCGUGCCUUUGCUUGAGGUCGUUUCUGAGCCUGACAUGAGAAGUGGUCUUGAGGCUGCAGAGUAUGCAGCUGAGAUACAAAGGUUGGUUCGAUAUCUGGGAGUGAGUAAUGGCAAUAUGCAGGAAGGUUCCCUUCGUUGUGAUGUAAAUGUUUCGGUCCGACCAGUUGGGCAGUCAAAGUUUGGGACAAAGGUUGAGAUAAAGAAUAUGAAUUCGUUCUCCGCAAUGCAUAGAGCAAUUGAUUUCGAGAUCUCAAGGCAGGUUGUUCUCCACAGUCAAGGCGAAGGUGAUCAAAUUAUUCAAGAAACUCGACUUUGGGAUGAUGGUUCUCAGAAAACAUUUACAAUGAGGAAAAAGGAAGGGCUAGCUGAUUAUCGAUAUUUUCCAGAACCGGACCUUCCAGAAGUGGUCCUUUCAAACGAAUUUGUCGAGGGUAUACAUUCUUCUUUACCGGAGCUUCCAGAGAUGAAGCGCAGACGAUACGAGAAAAUGGGGCUUAGCAUGCAGGAUGUUCUCUUUAUUGCCAAUGACAUGAAUGUUGCAGAUUUCUUUGAUGCCGCUAUUGAAAAUGGUGCUGAUGUGAAGCUAGCUGCUAAUUGGAUAAUGGGUGAUAUUGCUGCAUAUUUAAAAAAUGAAAAACUAUCAAUAAAUGAGAUAAAACUAACACCUCAAGAGCUAGCUGAGCUGAUAGCUUCUAUAAAAGGUGGAACUAUUAGCGGAAAGAUUGGUAAAGAGAUACUUUUUGAGCUAAUAGCGAAGGGUGGAACUGUCAAGGCAAUCAUAGAAGAAAAGGAUUUAGUUCAGAUAGUGGAUCCCUCCCUGAUCGAAAAGAUGGUAGAGAAAGUUCUUGCGGAGAAUCCAAAGCAGCUUCAACAAUAUCGCGGAGGCAAAACUAAAUUACAAGGUUUCUUUGCCGGCCAGGUAAUGAAGGAAUCGAAAGGUAAGGCGAAUCCGGCGCUUCUGAACAAGAUCCUUUUAGAGAAACUGAGUGCAAAAAGCUGACCAGCUUCGGAGGUUUUAGUAGCUCCAUGCAUCCAUCAUAUGUUGUCCUGAUAAACGGGUCAUAUUCGAUUCUCCUUCACUAGUCAUUGGUGCAGUGCCCAGAAUGUGGAAUUGGUGCUGGCAUGUUUGGACUUGAGGCUUCUUCCAUGGACACGACAAGCAUCAAAAUGCAUCAGGCUGGUUGUGUUGCAAGUCAGCGUUUUGCCGUGAUCUAAGUGGGCUUUGAUGAUGGCGUCGGGGAUCACGAUAUGGCAGGCCAAAGACCGGCAUGAAUCAUGUGCAGCACUAUGGUAAUGUAGUUCUCCAGGUAGAACUCCACUAGGACUUUGUGAAUGGUGGACCUUUGUAUUUUCUUUCUAGCCAGCAUUUUUUUCUUUUUUUAAUUGGAAUCAUGUGGCACUUUUUUGCA